RNAcentral lists this ribosomal RNA (521 nucleotides) under uncultured delta proteobacterium. Its description in RNAcentral is "bacterial SSU rRNA". It matches the Rfam family "Bacterial small subunit ribosomal RNA", at positions 24 to 523 of the family's 1533-position model. Lineage: Bacteria; Deltaproteobacteria. The record is from RNAcentral.
UCAGAACGAACGCUGGCGGCGUGCCUAACACAUGCAAGUCGAACGGAGGCAGGGGGCUUGCUCCUUGCUUUAGUGGCGCACGGGUGAGUAACGCGUGGAUAAUCUGCCUGAUACUCUGGGAUAACAUCUCGAAAGGGGUGCUAAUACCGGAUAAGCCCACGGGCUCUUCGGAGCUUGCGGGAAAAGGAGGGGACCUUCGGGCCUUCCGAUAUCAGAUGAGUCCGCGUCCCAUUAGCUAGUUGGUAGGGUAAAGGCCUACCAAGGCGACGAUGGGUAGCUGGUCUGAGAGGAUGAUCAGCCACACUGGAACUGAGACACGGUCCAGACUCCUACGGGAGGCAGCAGUGGGGAAUUUUGCGCAAUGGGGGAAACCCUGACGCAGCAACGCCGCGUGAGUGAUGAAGGCCCUUGGGUCGUAAAGCUCUGUCAGAGGGAAAGAAAUGUGGGCGGCUAAUAUCUGUACCACUUGACGGUACCCUCAAAGGAAGCACCGGCUAACUCCGUGCCAGCAGCCGCGGUAA